RNAcentral lists this ribosomal RNA (500 nucleotides) under Anguilla anguilla (European eel). Its description in RNAcentral is "partial large subunit ribosomal RNA". It matches the Rfam family "Bacterial large subunit ribosomal RNA", at positions 1816 to 2502 of the family's 2925-position model. Lineage: Eukaryota; Metazoa; Chordata; Actinopteri; Anguilliformes; Anguillidae. The record is from RNAcentral.
CGCCUCUUGCUAACAAAGGAAGUACUAGAGGUCCCGCCUGCCCUGUGACCACAAAGUUUAACGGCCGCGGUAUCCUGACCGUGCGAAGGUAGCGUAAUCAUUUGUCUUUUAAAUAGAGACCUGUAUGAAUGGCAUAACGAGGGUUUAACUGUCUCCUUCCCCUAGUCAAUGAAAUUGAUCUGCCCGUGCAGAAGCGGACAUAAACACAUAAGACGAGAAGACCCUAUGGAGCUUUAGACAAAAGAUCAAACAUGUAAAGAAACCAAACCAACCAAAAGGAACACGAAGGCCACAAAACCCAACGUAAACUGAUCUAAAUGUCUUCGGUUGGGGCGACCAUGGGGGAAAGAAAAGCCCCCACGAGGAACAGGGACAACCCCUAAACUAAGAGAGACACCUCUAAGCAACAGAAAAUCUGACCAAAAUGACCCAGGAUACUAAUCCUGAUCAACGAACCAAGUUACCCUAGGGAUAACAGCGCAAUCCUUUCCCAGAGUCCG